GUACAUAGAUCACUCGAUGCAUGCUGAGACAUAAAUUCACAUUUCUACCACUUCGGAAAGUAUCAAUAUCCUACAUGUAAAAUGGACUAGAAGAUACUGAAAAUAUUAAUGGUUUUAUACAAUAUGGCAAUACAGCAGAUCACUCAAGGCUUGCUGAGACAUGACUACGCAUUCAUACCAGUUGAGAAAAUAUCAUCAUCCUACGUUGAAAAUUAACUAGAAGAUACUGAUAAUUAUAUAGGUUUUAUGCAAUAUGGCAGUACAUAGAUCACUCGAUGCAUGCUGAGACAUGAAUUCACAUUUCUACCACUUCGGAAAGUAUCAAUAUCCUACAUGUAAAAUGGACUAGAAGAUACUGAAAAUAUUAAUGGUUUUAUACAAUGUACGUGUAAUGGUUAUCGACUGUAAUUGAUAUUUAAUUAAGAGUAGUGUGACAAUAAGUUAAUGCCGAGAAAUUCUGACAAUUACAUGAAGAAAGAAAUUCAAAUUUUGUAUUACUAACUUUCAUUAAUUUCAUUUAAGCUUAUACUUCAUAAACACUAUAAAACGUGUAUUUAUAUGAUAAUUUAGACAAAUAUAAAAAUUCAUAUUUUUAACUGCUUAAAAAACACUCAAUUCUCACGUUAGUCACAUCAA
Rhopalosiphum padi (bird cherry-oat aphid) is the source of this 636-nucleotide long non-coding RNA. RefSeq lists it as uncharacterized. Lineage: Eukaryota; Metazoa; Arthropoda; Insecta; Hemiptera; Aphididae. The record is from RefSeq and is a predicted model, not a curated record. The transcript has 3 exons.